ACCAACUGGGAUUACCUUAGUAACGGCGAGUGAAGCGGUAAAAGCUCAAAUUUGAAAUCUGGUACUUUCAGUGCCCGAGUUGUAAUUUGUAGAAUUUGUCUUUGAUUAGGUCCUUGUCUAUGUUCCUUGGAACAGGACGUCAUAGAGGGUGAGAAUCCCGUUUGGCGAGGAUACCUUUUCUUUGUAAGACUUUUUCGAAGAGUCGAGUUGUUUGGGAAUGCAGCUCAAAGUGGGUGGUAAAUUCCAUCUAAAGCUAAAUAUUGGCGAGAGACCGAUAGCGAACAAGUACAGUGAUGGAAAGAUGAAAAGAACUUUGAAAAGAGAGUGAAAAAGUACGUGAAAUUGUUGAAAGGGAAGGGCAUUUGAUCAGACAUGGUGUUUUUGCAUGCACUCGCCUCUCGUGGGCUUGGGCCUCUCAAAAAUUUCACUGGGCCAACAUCAAUUCUGGCAGCAGGAUAAAUCAUUAAGAAUGUAGCUACUUCGGUAGUGUUAUAGCUUUUUGGAAUACUGUUAGCCGGGAUUGA
This 524-nucleotide ribosomal RNA is filed under the name uncultured Hanseniaspora. RNAcentral's name for it is "eukaryotic LSU rRNA". It matches the Rfam family "Eukaryotic large subunit ribosomal RNA", at positions 64 to 590 of the family's 3401-position model. Lineage: Eukaryota; Fungi; Ascomycota; Saccharomycetes; Saccharomycodales; Saccharomycodaceae. The record is from RNAcentral.